This 834-nucleotide ribosomal RNA is filed under the name uncultured archaeon. Its description in RNAcentral is "bacterial SSU rRNA". It matches the Rfam family "Archaeal small subunit ribosomal RNA", at positions 21 to 859 of the family's 1478-position model. The record is from RNAcentral.
AGGUCACUGCUAUCGGUGUUCGAUUAAGCCAUGCGAGUCGUCAGGGGUAAAGCCCUCGGCGGAGUGCUCAGUAACACGUGGACAACCUACCCAAGAGUCAGGGAUAACCCCGGGAAACUGGGGAUAAUACCUGAUAGGCCAUGACAUCUGGAAUCGAGUUGUGGUUUAAACGUAAGGCUCUUGGAUGGGUCUGCGGCGGAUUAGGUUGUUGCCGGUGUAACGUACCAGCAAGCCUGUAAUCCGUACGGGUUGUGGGAGCAAGAGCCCGGAGAUGGAUUCUGAGACACGAAUCCAGGCCCUACGGGGCGCAGCAGGCGCGAAAACUCUACAAUGCAGGCAACUGCGAUAGGGGAACAUCGAGUGGCAUCCACCAUGGAUGUCUGUCCAAUCGUCUAAAAAACGAUUGUCAGCAAGGGCCGGGCAAGACCGGUGCCAGCCGCCGCGGUAAUACCGGCGGCUCGAGUGGUGGCCGAUAUUAUUGAGUCUAAAGGGUCCGUAGCCGGCUUUGCAAGUCCUAUGGGAAAUCCAGCGGCUUAACCGUUGGGCUUUCAUGGGAUACUACAUUGCUUGGGACUGGGAGAGGUAGGAGGUACUCAGGGGGUAGGGGUGAAAUCCUGUAAUCCUUUGGGGACCACCGGUGGCGAAGGCGUCCUACCAGAACAGGUCCGACGGUGAGGGACGAAAGCUAGGGGCACGAACCGGAUUAGAUACCCGGGUAGUCCUAGCCGUAAACGAUGCUCGCUAGGUGUCACGGCAGUCGUGAAUUGUCGUGGUGCCGUAGGGAAGCCGUGAAGCGAGCCACUUGGGAAGUACGACCGCAAGGUUGAAACUUAA